CGUCAUGUUAUUUAAAUGCCGGCCACCGCGGGAUUGUGGACAGAGGUGGUCACAUAGGAGAACUAGGAUCUUUCCUCAUAGUAUCGGAGGAGGAGGAUUUCUGAGCAGCAGUGUCACCAGCACGUGCGGCAGAAUUGCUAGUCUCUUCUUUCUCCCCCCACAACGGUAGCCUGUUACAAAUGGAAGAAAACCGUGUUCAUCAACUUCUGAACUUUAGAAUUAACGCCUCCAAUUCUGUAAAGUCCCAAAAUAGUGAUGCCUGGGUAGACAGAAACGGGAUAUAGAGAUUACAAGAAACAGUCGUGAUGCUGACGCCGGCUGCUCCAACCUUCCCCGGAAUUACAGGCUGUAACUAACAAGUUGCCAAGGACAGUAUUAAUCCCUUCAGCGCUAAGGAAGAGAGAGACUUGCCUGCAGCUUAAAAUUAUUGAGAACAAGUACCACUCAUCCUCAGCACUACAGCGGAUCAGAGGUGGAAGGGGGGAAAUGACGACACAUAUUUACAUAAGGAGCUGGAUAAACUGGAGGUUUGGGCAGCAACAUGACGGAUGACUUGCACUGUUGUGCAUUUUAAAUCUGAAGGAAGGAGGUUGGUGCACCAGAGAGAACAGAUGUAUAGAAAAGACAAAGAUCUUAGUUAUUGUUAAAUCUAAUUCCCUAAUGUUGACGAUGCUUUAUCGGAACUUUGUUUCUUGUUUUAUCUGCUCUGCAAAUCUUUUAUUUAAGGCCUAAUGAUUAACAAACAAAACUUCUCAUUUUGCAUUUACAACUAUCCUCCAAAUGUACCAAAUACAGUGUCCUCCUACACCAAGCCUCAAUAUGCCAUGUAGCGCGAGACGCCUGGUGCAAGUGACCCGCACCGAGUGGCAUAGCAUCUUUUUCUCCAGAAUGAGGGUCAUAAUAGCAACGUCAUGCGUCAAAACUCGCUUCAUGGGACCGUACUGAAUAAUUAGUUACUUGUUUAUCUGUGUGUGACUGAGUCUGAAU
Pseudophryne corroboree (corroboree frog) is the source of this 987-nucleotide long non-coding RNA. RefSeq lists it as uncharacterized. The record is from RefSeq and is a predicted model, not a curated record. The transcript is spliced from 4 exons. Lineage: Eukaryota; Metazoa; Chordata; Amphibia; Anura; Myobatrachidae.